RNAcentral lists this ribosomal RNA (468 nucleotides) under uncultured bacterium. RNAcentral describes it as "partial 16S ribosomal RNA". It matches the Rfam family "Bacterial small subunit ribosomal RNA", at positions 28 to 507 of the family's 1533-position model. The record is from RNAcentral.
GACGAACGCUGGCGGCGUGCUUAACACAUGCAAGUCGAACGGAAAGGCCCUGCUUUUGUUGGGUGCUCGAGUGGCGAACGGGUGAGUAACACGUGUGUAACCUGCCCUUGACUUUGGGAUAACUUCAGGAAACUGGGGCUAAUACCGGAUAUGAGCUCCUGCUGCAUGGUGUGGGUUGGAAAGUUUCGGCGGUUGGGGAUGGACUCGCGGCUUAUCAGCUUGUUGGUGGGGUAGUGGCUUACCAAGGCUUUGACGGGUAGCCGGCCUGAGAGGGUGACCGGCCACAUUGGGACUGAGAUACGGACCAGACUCCUACGGGAGGCAGCAGUGGGGAAUAUUGCACAAUGGGCGGAAGCCUGAUGCAGCAACGCCGCGUGCGGGAUGACGGCCUUCGGGUUGUAAACCGCUUUCGCCUGUGACGAAGCGUGAGUGACGGUAAUGGGUAAAGAAGCACCGGCUAACUACGUG